This 563-nucleotide ribosomal RNA is filed under the name uncultured fungus. RNAcentral describes it as "eukaryotic LSU rRNA". The stretch from base 194 to 347 matches the Rfam family "5.8S ribosomal RNA". The record is from RNAcentral. Lineage: Eukaryota; Fungi.
UAACAAGGUCUCCGUUGGUGAACCAGCGGAGGGAUCAUUACAGAGUUAUCCAACUCCCAAACCCAUGUGAACUUAUCUCUUUGUUGCCUCGGCGCAAGCUACCCGGGACCUCGCGCCCCGGGGGGCCCGCCGGCGGACAAACCAAACUCUGUUAUCUUCGUUGAUUAUCUGAGUGUCUUAUUUAAUAAGUCAAAACUUUCAACAACGGAUCUCUUGGUUCUGGCAUCGAUGAAGAACGCAGCGAAAUGCGAUAAGUAAUGUGAAUUGCAGAAUUCAGUGAAUCAUCGAAUCUUUGAACGCACAUUGCGCCCAUUAGUAUUCUAGUGGGCAUGCCUGUUCGAGCGUCAUUUCAACCCCUAAGCGCAGCUUAUUGUUGGGACCCUACGGCUUCGUAGUUCCCCAAAGACAUUGGCGGAGUGGCAGCAGUCCUCUGAGCGUAGUAAUUCUUUAUCUCGCUUUUGUUAGGCGCUGCCCCCCCGGCCGUAAAACCCCCAAUUUUUUCUGGUUGACCUCGGAUCAGGUAGGAAUACCCGCUGAACUUAAGCAUAUCAAUAAGCGGAGGA